GACGAACGCUGGCGGCGUGCUUAACACAUGCAAGUCGAACGGAAAGGCCCUGCUUUUGUGGGGUGCUCGAGUGGCGAACGGGUGAGUAACACGUGAGUAACCUGCCCUUGACUUUGGGAUAACUUCAGGAAACUGGGGCUAAUACCGGAUAGGAGCUCCUGCUGCAUGGUGGGGGUUGGAAAGUUUCGGCGGUUGGGGAUGGACUCGCGGCUUAUCAGCUUGUUGGUGGGGUAGUGGCUUACCAAGGCUUUGACGGGUAGCCGGCCUGAGAGGGUGACCGGCCACAUUGGGACUGAGAUACGGCCCAGACUCCUACGGGAGGCAGCAGUGGGGAAUAUUGCACAAUGGGCGGAAGCCGUGUGCAGCAACGCCGCGUGCGGGAUGACGGCCUUCGGGUUGCAAACCGCUUUCGCCUGUGACGAAGCGUGAGUGACGGUAAUGGGUAAAGAAGCACCGGCUAACUACGUG
This 468-nucleotide ribosomal RNA is filed under the name uncultured bacterium. RNAcentral describes it as "partial 16S ribosomal RNA". It matches the Rfam family "Bacterial small subunit ribosomal RNA", at positions 28 to 507 of the family's 1533-position model. The record is from RNAcentral.